Molecule: ribosomal RNA, 631 nt
Filed under: Dermacoccus sp.
Lineage: Bacteria; Bacillati; Actinomycetota; Actinomycetes; Micrococcales; Dermacoccaceae
Description: bacterial SSU rRNA
Rfam family: Bacterial small subunit ribosomal RNA
Source: RNAcentral
GGUGAGGGAUGGACUCGCGGCCUAUCAGCUUGAUGGUGGGGUAGUGGCCUACCAUGGCUUUGACGGGUAGCCGGCCUGAGAGGGUGACCGGCCACACUGGGACUGAGACACGGCCCAGACUCCUACGGGAGGCAGCAGUGGGGAAUAUUGCACAAUGGGCGGAAGCCUGAUGCAGCGACGCCGCGUGGGGGAUGAAGGCUUUCGGGUCGUAAACUCCUUUCAGCAGGGACGAAGCUUUUGUGACGGUACCUGCAGAAGAAGCACCGGCUAACUACGUGCCAGCAGCCGCGGUAAUACGUAGGGUGCGAGCGUUGUCCGGAAUUAUUGGGCGUAAAGAGCUUGUAGGCGGUUUGUCGCGUCUGCCGUGAAAGCCCAGGGCUUAACCCUGGGUCUGCGGUGGGUACGGGCAGACUAGAGUGUGGUAGGGGAGACUGGAAUUCCUGGUGUAGCGGUGAAAUGCGCAGAUAUCAGGAGGAACACCGAUGGCGAAGGCAGGUCUCUGGGCCACUACUGACGCUGAGAAGCGAAAGCAUGGGGAGCAAACAGGAUUAGAUACCCUGGUAGUCCAUGCCGUAAACGUUGGGAACUAGGUGUGGGCCUCAUUCCACGAGGUCCGUGCCGUAGCUAACGC